Molecule: small nucleolar RNA, 116 nt
Organism: Dipodomys ordii (Ord's kangaroo rat)
Lineage: Eukaryota; Metazoa; Chordata; Mammalia; Rodentia; Heteromyidae
Source: Ensembl
GAAUCCCAUGGUCCCCGUGUCUUAAGAAGCUAACACAGAAGGGUAAAUGAAAUCUCCAUAAAACCCAGAGAUGAGGCAGUAAAACUCCUCUUUGGUUCCUGUCUGGAGUUACAACU